AGCAGCCGCGGUAAUUCCAGCUCCAAUAGCGUAUAUUAAAGUUGCUGCAGUUAAAAAGCUCGUAGUUGAAUUUCGGGACUAAUAUGUCGGUCGUGCCUCGGUACGUACUGGCUUAUUGGUUUCUCCUUUCUGAAGAACCAUGAUGUCAUUUAUUUGGUGUCGUGGGGAAUCAGGACUGUUACUUUGAAAAAUUAGAGUGUUUAAAGCAGGCUCACGCUUGAAUACAUUAGCAUGGAAUAAUGAAAUAGGACGUUUGAUUCUAUUUUGUUGGUUUCUAGGAUCGACGUAAUGAUUAAUAAGGAUAGUUGGGGGCAUUAGUAUUCAAUUGUCAGAGGUGAAAUUCUUGGAUUUAUUGAAGACUAACUACUGCGAAAGCAUUUGCCAAGGAUGUUUUCAUUAACCAAGAACGAAAGUUAGGGGAUCGAAGACGAUCAGAUACCGUCGUAGUCUUAACCAUAAACUAUGCCGACUAGGGAUCGGAUGAUGUUAAUUUUUAAUGACUCAUUCGGCGCCUUAAC
Molecule: ribosomal RNA, 518 nt
Filed under: uncultured Glomus
Lineage: Eukaryota; Fungi; Glomeromycota; Glomeromycetes; Glomerales; Glomeraceae
Description: SSU rRNA
Rfam family: Eukaryotic small subunit ribosomal RNA
Source: RNAcentral